GAUAACAUAAAAGGCGUUCAACAUUGUGUCCUGGAGUAUCCGUCACAUGGCUGGAAUGAUGAAGCCUGUAAUAAAGCUAACGUUUUUGUCUGUCAACAAGUGGUAAAGAUGACCACCACUGUAAAGAUGGCUGCUAUGACUGGUGCCGACCUGACUGAUCCAGACAUCAGCGCCCAGGUCCUUCAGCAGCUUGGUGCUUUACUAAAAAGUCAGGGAUGGACUGAUUUCAAGAUUCAAUGGAAGAUGAAACCAAGAAAAAUGACAAAAAAAUGAAGGCAGAGCACCUUAGUGUAACACAUUUAUUUAUGUCCUCUGCAAAUGUUUUUGUUUCCACUUAUGUAGUAGUUGCAUGUCAUCUGGUCAAUCAUGAUGCAAACGAGACUAGUGUGUUUUUCUUUGCAAAGGUGAUUAAUUCAUAGAAGCAGAUUUAUAAUAUAUAUAAACAUGAUCUGUUAUUAAUUGAUAUCAAUUUAAUCGACAACAAUAUAUAUAAUGAAAAUAUGCCACCUUUAUAAUUCAAAAAAAAAUUUCAUAAUCAAUUAUUGGAGUAAAUAAUUAUAUAGGUGAAACAACAUGUAUAUAGUUUUCUUUUAAUCUAACUAAUUACGUUAUUCAAAGUGGGGUAUUUCUGCUGCCUGAAUUAAUUGUGUAAAUGUGGGAUUUAUUUUAGCUUUUGUUCUUCAAGUCUUUAAAAUUCCACAAUGUCCCAUCAUCCAAUAUAUUGUAGCUGAUUCUUUUAUUUUAAGAAUGCUUCUUUCAUGAAUAGCAAUUUCUAUUUUUACUUUAGUAAAACUUACCAAUUCUGCUAUCAUGGUAAAAAUAGUAAAAAAUAAAAAAUAUUCCCUGCAUACACACACAUGCACACAAAAAACCUUAUUUCUUGACUAGUUGUGCUAACUCUUCAGCUAAUUCUUAGAGGGAGACAUAGUGGGUAUACAGUAGAGGUCGGAGAGAGAUUUUAGAAAAUUAAAACCUAGUCUACUGUUAAUUUUAACAAAACUAAUAGAUAAUUUACUUUAUUUGUACAUGGAUUUUAUGAUUUAAAAG
Molecule: long non-coding RNA, 1047 nt
Organism: Cyprinodon variegatus (sheepshead minnow)
Lineage: Eukaryota; Metazoa; Chordata; Actinopteri; Cyprinodontiformes; Cyprinodontidae
Exons: 3
Source: RefSeq, a predicted model, not a curated record